UUCAGUUCUUCUGUAACGCUUCAAACUUUUUUCUACCAACCACAUUGUUUAGGCCGUUCAAUUAAAACUCCCCGGAUAUGUAUUUUCAUGGGUUACAUAUGUGAUCAUUGUAACGAAUGGCAACCGACAUCAUCACCCCUUUCGGACAUUUAUUCUUCUCUCUCACUGAUUAGUUUUUUCCGUGAUUUCGCAGAAUCAUCAUAUUAGAAAUUGAAAUGGUGUACAAACCAGUAGCAUUAGUACCAGGUUCAUAAAAUACAAGAUCAUUGAUGAGAUUUUGGUGAGUUGGAUUCGAUGAAAACUGAUAUUCAUGUUUAAGGGAAACUGAGACUGCUAAUGGAAAGCGGAAGAAACAGAUGUUAUUUUCAAUUGAUUUUAACACCCAGAUAAUAUCUUUCCAGUCGAUCUCCAGGUAUCUAAAUUAGAGUUCCAUUUAGUUUUUCUCCUUUGAAAUUCAAUUAGUUAUCUUUUGAUUUUGAAUGUUUUUUUUCCCAGAGAUUUGAUUUGACUAACCUUUUUGGUGAUGAGGGCUUCUCCAUUUCGGCAGCACGCAAAAAAAACUUAAUUCAGAUGCCGUCCUUUAGGAACCAUGAUUAUCAAAUUCCCUAAACCAAUUUCUGCAGAUUCAAAUUGGUUUCAUAUCAUUGUUAGAUUUUAAAGCUCUUCCAACACCUCCCAGAACCGCCUACAAAACUUUCAAACAUACAGCCGAGGAUGAAGAAGGCAAAUCCCUCGAUGACCCGCAUUCGAAUCUCAAAACUAGGACGAAUUAGAUUUCAUAGGGAUUAAUGAUGUCACCAGUUUAAUUGGAUGUGUUCAUGCUUGAUGACAAUGGCGAGAAACUGCACGGGGUGGUACCAAAGAACCUAAUCCGGAAAUUUGAUCCUUGCUUCCCAUUGGCGACAUAUAUUUCCUAGUAUGGAAAAAGAAGAUAUUUUGCCCCGCUCGCAGUGACCACUGUCUCUUCUUCAAGUGGGAUCGAUACCGAGGUGAAGCCUCUGCGCUGCACUUCGGUUGAACAAGCUCAAUUUUACCCAGUAUGAAGAUUUGGAAUCACGAUCUGCAAAUGCUUAUUUUAUGGGAAAUGAAUAGAGCCAAUGGUCAUUGCACGAUGCGGGACCUAACUCUUCAGAACCUAAGGGAGGAGAUAAGGUUAAAAAAGGCCGGGAAACUGACGAAUGGAAUUAAGGGAAAAAUAUUACAAAUGCACAAGUUGCCGUGAAUCCAUAAUCGCAACUCAAACCAAGGUUGACUUUCAUUGGGUCAGGAACAUGGACUACAUGAUGAUCUUCAGCUCUCAAUUUUUUUUGUGCUGAACUCCGGAUCGUUUGGAUUGAUAUUUGCGGCUUUCAAGAAAAUACAACUCAGGAACUCUUCUUGCGUAAUAUAUAUUCAGGUGAAAGAGAAUUAAUACGGUUUCAAUCAAAGAGAAGAUUGGUGUGGGAACUAGAUAAACUGCCAAAGAUUAUCCAAGUCCUAAGGAUUAUUGAUUUGCUACAUGAACUGUUCUAUAUAGGGUUCUCUUGAAUUUUAAGAAUUUUAGGGUCUAAGCACUUUGCCAGGUAAUCUUUACAAGCUUCUCAUUGUACUUAUAUAUACAAGAAUUGACGAAUUUUUUAUUCAAAAUCUAAGGUAAGUUCACAAAAAAAUAA
Papaver somniferum (opium poppy) is the source of this 1652-nucleotide long non-coding RNA. RefSeq lists it as uncharacterized. The record is from RefSeq and is a predicted model, not a curated record. The transcript has 9 exons. NCBI's taxonomy places the organism in Eukaryota, Viridiplantae, Streptophyta, Magnoliopsida, Ranunculales, Papaveraceae.